RNAcentral lists this unclassified non-coding RNA (426 nucleotides) under soil metagenome. RNAcentral describes it as "partial contains 5.8S ribosomal RNA, internal transcribed spacer 2, and large subunit ribosomal RNA". The stretch from base 1 to 121 matches the Rfam family "5.8S ribosomal RNA", at positions 35 to 154 of the family's 154-position model. The record is from RNAcentral.
GAUGAAGAACGGCAGCGAAAUGCGAUAAGUAGUGUGAAUUGCAGAAUUCCGUGAAUCAUCGAAUCUUUGAACGCACAUUGCGCCUUCUGGUAUUCCGGAAGGCAUGCCUGUUCGAGAGUCAUUAACAACCGUUUCGAUCCCUUUCUUUCAGAAAUUACAAAGAGGAAAAGGGUUUGGUUAUGGUGGAGGAGGGAAAGGGAGCGUUUAGCCUGUAAAAAAAGAGGCUGUGUUCCGCCUCCCCCCCAAAAUUGUACAGGCGGUCGUGUGCGCCCACGCAUCGAGGUGUUGUAAAAGCUGCCACGGCACUUUUCACCUGUGCAGUGCGAGAUUGGCCAGCCGGUUUAAAAACCCCUCCAAACAAUCAAAGGUUGACCUCGGAUCAGGUAGGGAUACCCGCUGAACUUAAGCAUAUCAAUAAGCGGAGGA